This 380-nucleotide ribosomal RNA is filed under the name uncultured eukaryote. RNAcentral's name for it is "partial 18S ribosomal RNA". It matches the Rfam family "Eukaryotic small subunit ribosomal RNA", at positions 592 to 976 of the family's 1831-position model. The record is from RNAcentral.
CAAUAGCGUAUAUUAAAGUUGUUGCGGUUAAAAAGCUCGUAGUUGGAUUUCUGCUGAGGACGACCGGUCCGCCCUUCGGGUGAGUAUCUGGUUUGGCCUUGGCAUCUUCUUGGUGAACGUAUCUGCACUUGACUGUGUGGUGCGGUACCCAGGACUUUUACUUUGAGGAAAUUAGAGUGUUUCAAGCAGGCAUACGCCUUGAAUACAUUAGCAUGGAAUAAUAAGAUAGGACCUCGGUUCUAUUUUGUUGGUUUCUAGAGCUGAGGUAAUGAUUAAUAGGGAUAGUUGGGGGCAUUCGUAUUUAACUGUCAGGGGUGAAAUUCUUGGAUUUGUUAAAGACGGACUACUGCGAAAGCAUUUGCCAAGGAUGUUUUCAUUGA